UACGGAGGGGGCUAGCGUUGUUCGGAAUUACUGGGCGUAAAGCGCACGUAGGCGGCUUUGCAAGUUAGAGGUGAAAGCCCGGGGCUCAACUCCGGAAUUGCCUUUAAAACUGCAUCGCUAGAAUUGUGGAGAGGUAAGUGGAAUUCCGAGUGUAGAGGUGAAAUUCGUAUAUAUUCGGAAGAACACCAGUGGCGAAGGCGACUUACUGGACACAUAUUGACGCUGAGGUGCGAAAGCGUGGGGAGCAAACAGG
Molecule: ribosomal RNA, 253 nt
Filed under: uncultured bacterium
Lineage: Bacteria
Description: partial 16S ribosomal RNA
Rfam family: Bacterial small subunit ribosomal RNA
Source: RNAcentral